This is a long non-coding RNA of Etheostoma spectabile (orangethroat darter), 143 nucleotides long. RefSeq lists it as uncharacterized. Lineage: Eukaryota; Metazoa; Chordata; Actinopteri; Perciformes; Percidae. The record is from RefSeq and is a predicted model, not a curated record. The transcript has 3 exons.
GUAACAUUACAGCUUGUUUCUCCCUGAUGUUGAACAUCUGUCCUGUAGGGUAACAUUACAGCUUGUUUCUUGUUUAAUAGUGGACCAGUUUCAGAGAUUGUUGUUCCAUCAGACAUGAAGACUUGGAGACACAGUCCAGGGUG